This 29-nucleotide non-coding RNA is filed under the name Mus musculus (house mouse). Lineage: Eukaryota; Metazoa; Chordata; Mammalia; Rodentia; Muridae. The record is from RNAcentral.
UAAACAUACAGAUGAAACAAAACUUCAAU